Molecule: ribosomal RNA, 350 nt
Filed under: uncultured bacterium
Lineage: Bacteria
Description: bacterial SSU rRNA
Rfam family: Bacterial small subunit ribosomal RNA
Source: RNAcentral
UACGUUAAUAGCGUAUUCGUUUGACGUUAGCGACAGAAGAAAGCACCGGCUAACUCCGUGCCAGCAGCCGCGGUAAUACGGAGGGUGCGAGCGUUAAUCGGAAUUACUGGGCGUAAAGCGCAUGCAGGUGGUUUGUUAAGUCAGAUGUGAAAGACCCGGGGCUCAACCUCGGAAUAGCAUUUGAAACUGGCAGACUAGAGUACUGUAGAGGGGGGUAGGAAUUUCAGGUGUAGCGGUGAAAUAGCGUAGAGAUCUGAAGGAAUACCGGUGGCGAAGGCGGCCCCCUCGGACAGAUACUGACACUCAGAUGCGAAAGCGUGGGGAGCAAACAGGAUUAGAUACCCUGGUAG